GAUGAAGAACGCAGCGAAAUGCGAUAAGUAGUGUGAAUUGCAGAAUUCAGUGAAUCAUCGAAUCUUUGAACGCACAUUGCGCCCCUUGGUAUUCCAUGGGGCAUGCCUGUUCGAGCGUCAUUUGUACCUUCAAGCUCUGCUUGGUGUUGGGUGUUUGUUCCGCCUCUGUGUGUGAACUCGCCUCAAAACAAUUGGCAGCCGGCGUAUUUGUUUCGGAGCGCAGCACAUUUUGCGAUCCAGAUCAACGUACAGCGGCAUCCAAGAAGCCUUAUUUAACGCUCUUGACCUCGGAUCAGGUAGGGAUACCCGCUGAACUUAAGCAUAUCAAUAAGCGGAGGA
RNAcentral lists this unclassified non-coding RNA (339 nucleotides) under soil metagenome. Its description in RNAcentral is "partial contains 5.8S ribosomal RNA, internal transcribed spacer 2, and large subunit ribosomal RNA". The stretch from base 1 to 120 matches the Rfam family "5.8S ribosomal RNA", at positions 35 to 154 of the family's 154-position model. The record is from RNAcentral.